RNAcentral lists this ribosomal RNA (376 nucleotides) under uncultured bacterium. RNAcentral describes it as "bacterial SSU rRNA". It matches the Rfam family "Bacterial small subunit ribosomal RNA", at positions 521 to 896 of the family's 1533-position model. The record is from RNAcentral.
UAAUACGUGGGGUGCAAGCGUUGUUCGGAAUUACUGGGCGUAAAGCGCGUGUAGGCUGCUUUUUAUGUCAGGUGUGAAAGCCCUCGGCCUAACCGAGGAAGUGCGCCUGAAACUGAAAAGCUUGAGUACGAGAGAGGGGGACGGAAUUCCCAGUGUAGAGGUGAAAUUCGUAGAUAUUGGGAGGAACACCGGCGGCGAAAGCGGUUCCCUGGAUCGAUACUGACGCUAAGACGCGAAAGCGUGGGGAUCAAACAGGAUUAGAUACCCUGGUAGUCCACGCCGUAAACGAUGGAUAUUAGUUGUUGCGGGCUUAACCCUCGCAGUGACGACGCUAACGCAUUAAAUAUCCCGCCUGGGGAGUACGGCCGCAAGGUUA